AUUGAACGCUGGCGGCAGGCCUAACACAUGCAAGUCGAACGAGUGGCGGACGGGUGAGUAAUGGCUGGGAAACUGCCUGAUGGAGGGGGAUAACUACUGGAAACGGUAGCUAAUACCGCAUACCAUCGGAUGUGCCCAGAUGGGAGUAGCUAGUAGGUGGGGUAAAGGCUCACCUAGGCGACGAUCCCUAGCUGGUCUGAGAGGAUGACAGGCCACACUGGAACUGAGUCGCGGGCCAGCCUCCUACGGGAUGCAGCGGUGGGAAAUAUUGGACAUUGGGCGCAAGCCUGAUGCAGCCAUGCCGAGGGUAUGAAGAAGGCUUUCGGGUUUUAAUGUAUUUUCAGCGGGGAGGCGUUACCCGCAGAAGAAGCACCGGCUAACUCCGUGCCAGCAGCCGCGGUAAUUC
This 406-nucleotide ribosomal RNA is filed under the name uncultured bacterium. RNAcentral's name for it is "partial 16S ribosomal RNA". It matches the Rfam family "Bacterial small subunit ribosomal RNA", at positions 30 to 526 of the family's 1533-position model. The record is from RNAcentral.